This 94-nucleotide transfer RNA is filed under the name Mycobacteroides salmoniphilum. RNAcentral describes it as "tRNA-Cys". Lineage: Bacteria; Bacillati; Actinomycetota; Actinomycetes; Mycobacteriales; Mycobacteriaceae. The record is from RNAcentral.
GGGCGGCCUCGAAUACGUUGCAGGCCUCCAAGUUCUACAAGGAUGUGAUGACGCAGCUCGGCAGCCUUGUCGGCGCGGCCCCGGCGCCGCUCUC